AUCUACAGGCUUAACACAUGCAAGUCGAGGGGCAUCAGGAAGAAAGCUUGCUUUCUUUGCUGGCGACCGGCGCACGGGUGAGUAACACGUAUCCAACCUGCCCUUUACCCGGGGAUAGCCUUUCGAAAGAAAGAUUAAUACCCGAUAGCAUAAUGAUUCCGCAUGGUUUCAUUAUUAAAGGAUUCCGGUAAAGGAUGGGGAUGCGUUCCAUUAGGUUGUUGGUGAGGUAACGGCUCACCAAGCCUUCGAUGGAUAGGGGUUCUGAGAGGAAGGUCCCCCACAUUGGAACUGAGACACGGUCCAAACUCCUACGGGAGGCAGCAGUGAGGAAUAUUGGUCAAUGGGCGGUAGCCUGAACCAGCCAAGUAGCGUGAAGGAUGAAGGCUCUAUGGGUCGUAAACUUCUUUUAUAUAAGAAUAAAGUGCAGUAUGUAUACUGUUUUGUAUGUAUUAUAUGAAUAAGGAUCGGCUAACUCCGUGCCAGCAGCCGCGGUAAUACGGAGGAUCCGAGCGUUAUCCGGAUUUAUUGGGUUUAAAGGGAGCGUAGGUGGACUGGUAAGUCAGUUGUGAAAGUUUGCGGCUCAACCGUAAAAUUGCAGUUGAUACUGUCAGUCUUGAGUACAGUAGAGGUGGGCGGAAUUCGUGGUGUAGCGGUGAAAUGCUUAGAUAUCACGAAGAACUCCGAUUGCGAAGGCAGCUCACUGGACUGCAACUGACACUGAUGCUCGAAAGUGUGGGUAUCAAACAGGAUUAGAUACCCUGGUAGUCCACACAGUAAACGAUGAAUACUCGCUGUUUGCGAUAUACAGUAAGCGGCCAAGCGAAAGCAUUAAGUAUUCCACCUGGGGAGUACGCCGGCAACGGUGAAACUCAAAGGAAUUGACGGGGGCCCGCACAAGCGGAGGAACAUGUGGUUUAAUUCGAUGAUACGCGAGGAACCUUACCCGGGCUUAAAUUGCAGUGGAAUGAUGUGGAAACAUGUCAGUGAGCAAUCACCGCUGUGAAGGUGCUGCAUGGUUGUCGUCAGCUCGUGCCGUGAGGUGUCGGCUUAAGUGCCAUAACGAGCGCAACCCUUAUCUUUAGUUACUAACAGGUUAUGCUGAGGACUCUAGAGAGACUGCCGUCGUAAGAUGUGAGGAAGGUGGGGAUGACGUCAAAUCAGCACGGCCCUUACGUCCGGGGCUACACACGUGUUACAAUGGGGGGUACAGAAGGCAGCUAGCGGGUGACCGUAUGCUAAUCCCAAAAGCCUCUCUCAGUUCGGAUCGAAGUCUGCAACCCGACUUCGUGAAGCUGGAUUCGCUAGUAAUCGCGCAUCAGCCACGGCGCGGUGAAUACGUUCCCGGGCCUUGUACACACCGCCCGUCAAGCCAUGGGAGCUGGGGGUACCUGAAGUACGUAACCGCAAGGAUCGUCCUAGGGUAAAACUGGUGACUGGGGCU
RNAcentral lists this ribosomal RNA (1441 nucleotides) under uncultured organism. RNAcentral describes it as "SSU rRNA". It matches the Rfam family "Bacterial small subunit ribosomal RNA". The record is from RNAcentral.